UACGUAGGGUCCAAGCGUUAUCCGGAUUUACUGGGUGUAAAGGGCGAGUAGACGGUGUUACAAGUCAGAUGUGAAAACUUGGGGCUCAACUCCAAGACUGCAUCUGAAACUGUGAUACUAGAGUGCAGGAGAGGAAAGUGGAAUUCCUAGUGUAGCGGUGAAAUGCGUAGAUAUUAGGAGGAACACCAGUGGCGAAGGCGACUUUCUGGACUGUAACUGACGUUGAGGCGCGAAAGUGUGGGGAGCAAACAGG
RNAcentral lists this ribosomal RNA (253 nucleotides) under uncultured bacterium. RNAcentral's name for it is "partial 16S ribosomal RNA". It matches the Rfam family "Bacterial small subunit ribosomal RNA", at positions 524 to 776 of the family's 1533-position model. The record is from RNAcentral.